UACGAAGGUGGCAAGCGUUGUUCGGAAUCACUGGGCUUAAAGAGUACGUAGGCGGCCCGUCAAGUGCUUUGUGAAAUCCCCCGGCUCAACCGGGGAAUUGCUGGGCAUACUGUAGGGCUUGAGGCAGGUAGGGGCGCGUGGAACUCUUGGUGGAGCGGUGGAAUGCGUAGAUAUCAAGAGGAACGCCGGUGGCGAAAGCGAUGCGCUGGGCCUGUCCUGACGCUGAGGUACGAAAGCUAGGGGAGCAAAC
RNAcentral lists this ribosomal RNA (250 nucleotides) under uncultured bacterium. RNAcentral's name for it is "partial 16S ribosomal RNA". It matches the Rfam family "Bacterial small subunit ribosomal RNA", at positions 524 to 773 of the family's 1533-position model. The record is from RNAcentral.